GAGCAAGGGCUUCAAAAUUAUAAGAUGAUGCGAAUUUGUCAUUGGAGGUUAGCAGUAUUGUAUAAAAGUUGCGAUUCUCUAUGACUUUCAAAUCUCUCUAUUGAUUUUGAACUCAAACAAGUCACCACAUU
Small nucleolar RNA from Telopea speciosissima, 131 nucleotides. NCBI's taxonomy places the organism in Eukaryota, Viridiplantae, Streptophyta, Magnoliopsida, Proteales, Proteaceae. The record is from RefSeq and is a predicted model, not a curated record.